UGUUCUUUAGAGAUUUUCUCUUUAAGUUCAUCCUCCCACUGUUUUCAAGAAAACAGUAUGAUUGCUCACGAUCAUAUUGUGAACCACUGAGAAGAGAAAGUGAUAUCCCAAAUCCUUUUGGGAUACUCCAUAAACGAGCUCUCACAAACCUAUCCUCUAAUUUGUCCACCAUAUCAUAUCUCAUAUGGUGUGGUGAAACCAACUUUAGAAGAAAUCUAAUUUAAAUUUCAAAAAUUAAAUCUUGUUCUUAAAGAAAUAAUAAUUGAAUUAGUGAUAUUCAUGACGGAUCAGACCAUAUCACAUACAAUGCCAUUGAUCCUCAUAGAUACACCAUUGAGUUGAGGUGUAUAAGGAGAAUUCUAUUAUGAAACUAUACCAUUCUCUUUAGAUAAUCAACAACUUCUCUAUUUGGUAUUGCAUCCUCGAUC
Molecule: long non-coding RNA, 428 nt
Filed under: Elaeis guineensis (African oil palm)
Lineage: Eukaryota; Viridiplantae; Streptophyta; Magnoliopsida; Arecales; Arecaceae
Description: long non-coding RNA (EGUI_LNC058523)
Source: RNAcentral